AUACGGAGGAUCCGAGCGUUAUCCGGAUUUAUUGGGUUUAAAGGGUGCGCAGGCGGAAGAUUAAGUCGGCGGUGAAAUUUUGCAGCUCAACUGUAAAAGUGCCAUCGAUACUGGUUUUCUUGAGUGUGGAUGAAGUAGGCGGAAUUUGUGGUGUAGCGGUGAAAUGCAUAGAUAUCACGAGGAACUCCGAUUGCGCAGGCAGCUUACUAGGCCAUAACUGACGCUCAGGCACGAAGGCGUGGGGAUCAAACAGGAUUAGAUACCCUGGUAGUCCACGCAGUAAACGAUGAUUACUCGCUGUUUGCGAUACACAGUAAGCGGCUUAGCGAAAGCGUUAAGUAAUCCACCUGGGGAGUACGCCGGCAACGGUGAAACUCAAAUGAAUUGACGGGG
This 393-nucleotide ribosomal RNA is filed under the name uncultured bacterium. Its description in RNAcentral is "partial 16S ribosomal RNA". It matches the Rfam family "Bacterial small subunit ribosomal RNA", at positions 523 to 918 of the family's 1533-position model. The record is from RNAcentral.